UUCCUACGGGACGCAGCAGUGAGGAAUAUUGGUCAAUGGGCGGGAGCCUGAACCAGCCAAGCCGCGUGAAGGAAGAAGGCGCCAGGCGUCGUAAACUUCUUUUGUCGGGGAACAAAGGGCGCCACGCGUGGCGUUGUGAGUGUACCCGAAGAAAAAGCAUCGGCUAACUCCGUGCCUGCAGCCGCGGUAAUACGUAGGGGGCAAGCGUUAUCCGGAUUUACUGGGUGUAAAGGGAGCGUAGACGGCAGAGCAAGUCUGAAGUGAAAGCCCGCGGCCCAACUGCGGGACUGCUUUGGAAACUGCCC
RNAcentral lists this ribosomal RNA (305 nucleotides) under uncultured bacterium. RNAcentral's name for it is "bacterial SSU rRNA". It matches the Rfam family "Bacterial small subunit ribosomal RNA", at positions 336 to 638 of the family's 1533-position model. The record is from RNAcentral.